Trifolium pratense (red clover) is the source of this 1105-nucleotide long non-coding RNA. RefSeq lists it as uncharacterized. NCBI's taxonomy places the organism in Eukaryota, Viridiplantae, Streptophyta, Magnoliopsida, Fabales, Fabaceae. The transcript has 2 exons. The record is from RefSeq and is a predicted model, not a curated record.
UACCUUGUUAAAUAGCCACACUCAUUGCAGUUGCACACCAUGGAAGAAACCCUAAUGCAAACACAGCCGCAUACUGUUUCAUCUACUAAGUGAUUUGAUUGCUAUUACACGGGGUCAAUGCAGAUACAGCUAUGCAUUGAGGUUGUAGUAGGUGCCUGUCGAAGUAGCGGUUACUUCCGGUUAAGAUCUAGCAUCUCAUAGUUGUGUGUGUGUUUUGGUUAGAUCAUGGUUGAUUACUUUCUUUAGGUUAUAGAUUAUGCAUGAUUUGUUUAUCUGCAUGAACUUGACACUAGAAGCUGAUUCAUUUCACAAAAAUAUAUGUUAAGUUUGCAAACGAAAACAUAAUAAAGAUUUUGGUUGUUUUAAUGUUUUGUUUGGAUAAGCUUGAUUGGCUUUGAAUGGUUUUGCUUGUUGAACUGACUUUAUGGCAAGGUUGCCUGUUCAUCUUCGCACAAUUGACUUAAGAAUGUUUUUAUCUGAUAAACUAUAGAGUCGUUAUGUUCUAUUGAAAUUUUCUUUCGGGUUAACUCCACUUUCGAGUUAUUUUGUAAAGAAAUUUCAAUGGAAGAUAAUGACUCUACAAUUUAUUACAUAAAAAAAAUUGAUGUUAAUUGUGCAAUCAUGAAUGUAUAACCUAACUAUAAAGUGAAGGGGAAAAUCCUUCAAAAUCGACGAAGUUUAUCCAAAUAAAACAUUAGUAACAAAAAUCUUUGUUAUUCUUUUGUUUGUCAUUUUCUAGAGUCGAGGAACAAAUUCCAGCUCUUAAGUGUUUUUAUGCGAUAAACUAUAGAGUCGUUAUGUUCUAUUGAAAUUUCCUUUCAGGUUAACUCGACUCACGAGUUAUUUUGUAAGGAAAUUUCAAUGGAAAAUAACGACUCUACCGUUUAUUACAUAAGAAACAAUUAAUGUUAAUUGUGCAAUCAUGAAUGUAAAACCCAACUAUAAAGUGAGGGCAAAAUCCUUCAAAACGGACCAAGUUUAUCCAAAUAAAACUAGUAACAAAAAUCUCUGGUAUUCUUUUGUUUGUCAUUUUCUGGAGUCGAGGAACAAAUUCCAGUUCUUAAGUGUUUUUAUGCGAUAAACUAUAGAGUCGUUAUGUUCUAUU